Molecule: small nuclear RNA, 118 nt
Filed under: Chrysemys picta bellii (western painted turtle)
Lineage: Eukaryota; Metazoa; Chordata; Testudines; Emydidae
Description: U2 spliceosomal RNA (ENSCPBG00000004287.1)
Rfam family: U2 spliceosomal RNA
About the family: U2 is a small nuclear RNA (snRNA) component of the spliceosome (involved in pre-mRNA splicing). Complementary binding between U2 snRNA (in an area lying towards the 5' end but 3' to hairpin I) and the branchpoint sequence (BPS) of the intron results the bulging out of an unpaired adenosine, on the BPS, which initiates a nucleophilic attack at the intronic 5' splice site, thus starting the first of two transesterification reactions that mediate splicing.
Source: RNAcentral
CGUCCUCUAUCUGAGGACUAUAUAUUAAAUGGAUUUUUGGAACAGGGAGAUGGAAUAGGAGCUUGCUCCAUCCACUCCACGCAUCAACCUGGUAUUGCAGUACCUCCAGGAACGGUGC